This is a long non-coding RNA of Hyla sarda, 576 nucleotides long. RefSeq lists it as uncharacterized. The transcript has 3 exons. The record is from RefSeq and is a predicted model, not a curated record. NCBI's taxonomy places the organism in Eukaryota, Metazoa, Chordata, Amphibia, Anura, Hylidae.
AUUUUGCCUGGAUACAGAAAUAUCUGGUAAAGGUUACAUGACGGUUAUAAGGCAAGCAUAAUAGAAAACACAGAAGGCAUCAUAAUUUACCGCAGACAGCUUUAGGAAACAAAAACUUUCCAGGAGAUGAGCUUUUUCAAACAACUGUCUCUUACUUGAAGCUAGCUUGCCUGUGGAAUGAUCUUGUGGAGUCUGUGGUGAAGUGACCGAGAGAGAUUGGGAAAGAUACUUCCUAAGAAAUACAACAGAAGUCUGUUGACGAAACGUCGGGUGCUGGAGGCCUGCCAUCACUAGCCACUAGGCAAGUUACUACUGUUCUAGGUCUUGCAUUCAACUUUCAAUGUCAGUUUUUCAGUAGGAUCACUAUUUGUCUUAUUGUGGCCCUAAGUGAUCCUUGCAUUGGGCUCUUACUAUUUAUUAAGCCGAGCACUUUGCUUGUGAUGUUUUAAAUACAUCUCUUUUAUAAAGGGUAUAUCCACGCUGCACAUUGUUUCCCUACUGGGUUAUCUCCCUAUCCAUAUACUUUUGUCCAGUACAUUGGACAAUGAUUAUUGCUUAUAUUUUCUCUGUUGGUAA